AUAGCUACUAGAAAAUCUAAAGUUAAACAUGCAGCUCACAUAUUUUUACAUGACAGCACUAGUCUAAACAUUCUUGCAAAUACUUGCGUGAAUGAGUAGGCUUAUGAAAAUUCUAUUUGCCAGAUUUCCUUUGGCUUUGUCCACAGUAAAAUGCCACACUUGUUGGGGUCCAUAUCUGUCCUCCCACAGUCCUACCCCAGAAACCUCCCAUAUUAUUUGAUUAGAGAGCAGAAGCAUCUGCUUGAAGUGAGUACAAAUGUGCUCUUCUGUGAAUACCAAACAGAAAAAUCAUAGGAAGCAGAGGAAGCGGCUGUUCCCACUGUUUAAAAAGACUCACUGAUUCCUUUCUAAUUGGCUUGUGCUUGCUCUGUCUUGCCAGAUCUGUCUCAGUUCCAAUGCAUUUGGGGUCUGUGGCUAUCCUUGAGGACGAUCCAGUCUGCUAAGAGCCAUCACAUUUGGCUAAACUCAGUGACUCUUGGACAAGGCGUAAAUUAUAGGCUUUCAAUCUGAGGCAGAACUACACUGCAAUCCAUAUGGAAGAUGGAAAGGCCCUUGAGGACUUCUAGUAAAAGUUGUCUUCUCAUAAGGCUAGGCAGAAGAACCUACAAGGAUAGAGGAAAUUUUCUUCCUCUCCUUCAGUUGGCGACGAGGUUGGGGGAAAGCUUAACUGGCUGGAUGCUGCUUGCUCUGGGACUACCGCAGCUGUGAGAUCUUGGACCUCUGACAAUUGUUGGCAAGAGGUAAGAGUUCUUACCAUGUCAGUCUCCCAGAUCUAUGCCUGCAGCAUCCAAUGGAAGCAAUAGUGGUGGGUUUUUUCCUUUUCUAAAUUUAGAUUAACAGGAGAAAAUAUUUGUGAAGCUAGCUUCUUGGCCUUAGUGACUAGGAAAUUUGGUAGAGUGUUCUUUGUUUUUAUUGAUCCUUCUCCUCCCAAAGAUUGUCACUGUUUUUCCUUGUCUCUAUCUUUAGUGUCAUUUGUCAUAAAAAGGAAAAACCAUAGGGCAGGACACAGGCAUAGACCCUAUAAGCCUGUUGUUUGGGCCAGCCCCACAGUCUUGCCACAAACUUUGCUGUGGGUUAAUAUGCACAUGAAGUAAAAGAUACUGCUAAGGGACAUCUUGGAAGCAAAAGCUGCAAGAUGGUGAGCAUGGUUGGAGCAUUUAAGAGCCAUUAGGGUGCUCAUCACCUCAAGAAGACUCCCAUGAUAGAAUAAGUUGGUCAUGGAGCAGAUUAGAUGGACACUAUGUCACCUCCUAACCUCAAGACAACUUCCAUGAGAUGAGGUACACUGUAAAAACAAUAUACAGUCCCCAACCCUGUGGUACAUCUCUCUUAGGUAUUAGUUUGGCUCCAAGAGACCUAAGACUUAGCUAAAGCUGUUAUGUGCAUAUAAGGAAAAAAAAGUGGAUGAGGUUUUUCCUUUUGUCUUGCUCUAUCUCUUGAGAGCUGGCUUUGUGAGAAUCUCCUUUCUGAUCUCCACCAUCCAGAGCACGCACACAGCGACAUGCAUCUUGGCCACCAGUCAAAUGGACUGGGGUUCCAAGACACACUGUGUUUGUCUGGCUGUGUUAGCUCUCAGGGAAGUUUGUCAUAAAGGAUCCCAGUCCAUAAGGGGCCUUUGUCUUCUCAACCUUUGUUGCUUGUUAGUGCUGGAAAAAUCCCUGUGGGAGGCUGGAGCACAGCUCCCUCCUUACUGCUGUGCAAUGAAGACCUUUGCUUUCUCAGACUAUUUUGGGGAGUGAAUUUUCUGGAUCUUGUGGGUUUGAGUUGCUAUUAAGAUAAACUUUGUUUGAUUUUCUCCUGUUAUUCUGUCUCACGUCAAUUUAAUUCUAAACCAGCCAGAAAAACUUAAAAGGGCAGAGGAAAAUUUCUUCCUCCCCUACAAUACUCUCUGAGAUUCCUUUUAUGUGUAACGUUUCAUGCAUGUUGGUUGCCAGAGUUGUAUCUGUGAGUAUAAGAUGCCUUUUCCAUGAUUUUAUCCAUGUGUUCCUACAUUGUGGUGUGACAUCCAGAAAAUUAUUCUAGCCAAUAGGAGCUCUGCCUACUGGGUUUUAACCCUUAUUAUUCUUUUAGGACCCCGUGGAGGAAGGGUGGUAGCCUUCAAUAUUCUCUAAUAGUGAAAUCCUUUGAAAACAUGAUAUCUUGUUAAAAGCUCAGUUUUUCUCCUUUCCUUCCCUUGGACUCCUCCUGUUCCUUCUUCUUCUUUCCCUUUUUCCUUGCUAAUAUGCAUUUAGGGUCUAAUAUAUAUAAGCUAUAAAAAUUUAAAUGAAAUGUCCUUUAAAAUGUUUCAUGGAAGACAGAUAGUUACCAGGAAGUGAAUUCGCAGAAAAUGAAAUCAGGACUUAUACACACUUUGCUACUGAAAAUUUGAUUUAAAAAUGUAAUGAUUAGGUUAAAAAGGUAGCAGUAUGACUGGACUUGCUUUUCAAAAACACAGCUGCUAAUUAAUGAUCACCUUUCCUGAAAUUUCAUCCUAGGGCUUUCUUCUAACCUAUUGAUUUCUAUUAUCAAUGAAAUGCAAGUGGUAUCAGAACGCUGGUCUCAUAUUCCACCAAAGCUGAUCAAGUGUAUUUAUUUUUUAGUUUAUUUGGGCACCAGAUACCCAAGGGAGAAUGGAGACGGGCACCCCACUGGAAAGAUGGGAGAAAGCACGUAACAGGAGUCCCCGAAAUUGAUGGAAAUCUUUGCCUAUUUCAAAAUUUACUUUAAAGGCUAAAUUGUGCAGUCAGGGAAAGGCAGGUUUUAGUUUGGGAGAGGGAGGUUGAAGGCAGAUGUCUGUGCUCUCUCCUGUCUCUUUCAAAUGACUGCACGUGUGUUGCCUCUAAACCCGGCAGACUCAAAUGCUUGGAUGAGCUACUAAGUAGAAAUAAAAAUGAUAAUUCUCUUUUAUUUCUUCUUUUGCUAUGCAGUCAUAAUAGGUGGAUUUUCAUUAAACAUGGGAAGAUAAAAAAUGGGAAAUGCACUUUCCCUGAACUCUCUCAAUGUUCUAUAAAAUGUUCAAUUAACUGUACUUGCCACUGUCCAUAUUUCUUUCCGUACUCUCUAGAUUGCGUGAGGCCUCUCUAGUGUCUCAGUUAACAUUAAAAAGAGAGUCAAUUUAUUAUUUUUUACUGAACUCAGAAUAGCUGGGUGAAUAAAUACUGCUAUGAAUCAUUUCUUUUGCUUCAUGACCUGUUGUUUAAACUUUUGAGGAACCAUAACACAGUAGGAACUAAAACUAUCUUAGAAGAAAAGUCAGCUAGAAGAUAAUAGGAAUAAAACUUGAUUUUCCCCAUUUCUUUGUGUACCAUAUCCAGCCACCACCUUUACCCUGGGCUAUCAAGCCAUGUGACCGCCAAGUAAGUAAUUCCAUUUCUCAUACCACAUACACAAUUAAUAAUAAUAAAGAUUACAAAGGAGGAUGAAGAGUCGGUUGAGAAUCUGAGGCAUUACACAUAGAGGAAUUUGGGUAGGAAUUCCAGCUCUGUAAUGUAAUAGCUGUGUGACCUGUGGAAAGUUAUUUACUCUUUCUGAGCACUAGUCUCCUCAUUUGUAAAAUGGAGAUAAUAGUACUUAACUGGCAGGUUAUUGUAAGGAUUGAGACACUGAAUGGAAAACAUCAAGAAUAGUCAGGGAUGCGUGGUGACAGCUCAAUAGCUCCAGAGUGCUAUUAUCAAUGGAAAUGAAGCAAGAGGCUUUUUGUCAUUGUUACAAUCAAGGGACUAUCUUGCCACAAAAGAGCAAAGUUCAAACGGUGACUUGUCUUUUUAUUUCAGAAAAUGUGAGUCUAGCUCUGUUGGUUUUUAUCUAGGGAAGGGCGUGUGUGUGUGUGUGUGUGUGUGUAUGUUGUGUAUGUGUGGUUGCAUGUGUGUGUGUGAGAGAGAGAGGGAGAAGAGAGAGAGAGAAUAUCCUGGCACAGUGGGUGGUGAUGUUCCUUCUUGGGUGUAUUUAUAUCGAUUGCUUUAAAACGUUAUUUAGUGGCAAUGUAUAGGAAAGAGCAAUUGACUUGGAAUAAGAAAACUUAGGUUGAUGUCUCAGCACUGCCAAAUAUUGAUUGUACUAAAUGCUUGAUUCAUGUACGUGCCCAAGAAAUGUUUAUUAGGUUUAAAGACAAAUGAGUUGUUAGUCCCUGAAUAUUGGAGUUGGAUAUAAUUUCAGUAGGCUGCACUAUUUACUUCUUUUAAAGAUCUUGAAAGAGUGAUGAGAACUUGAAAGCAAACUUGGGUUGAGUAACUGUCCACGUCUGUGGAACAGGUUGAAGCUGCUAGAAAUGGCACAUCGUCCAAAAUGUUUUCUUUGCUGACCUGGAGUCACUAACAGGGAUUUCAUUAUUACUGAAUAAUUUGUCUACAUCAGUGAUUUUCAAACUUUUUGCUCUCAGACACAUUUAUACUUUUAAAAAUGACUGGGCACCCCAGAGAGCUCUGGUUUAUGUGAGUUAUAUCUGGUUAAUUGUUUCUUUCAGCUAUCUUCUUUUAAAUUCAAAGGCUCCUGGAAAGGAUACUACACUUAUUUAAAUUCUUAAGUUCUGAGUGAGAGAGAGGGAAAGAAUGAGAGCAACGUAGACUUGAAGGGAAUGUGGCCUUGAAAAAAGUGGGAAAUCAGGGCAAUGAGUCCUCGUAUCAGUUCCGUUUUGCAGUUUGGAAAUUGGCUCCAUCACUUAACUGUGGCUUAAAUUUGGACAAUUAACCAAUUCAGCAGUUCUCAAAGUGUCAGCUAGGAACCCCUGAGAGUCCCUGAGACCUUUUCAGGAGACCUAUGAGGUCAAGAUGUAUGUCAUAACAAAUCUAAGAUAUUCAUUGCUUUUUUCACUCUCAUUAUUUUACAAGCAUAUGACAGAGUUUCCAGAAGCCACACGAUAGGUGUUGUCUCCACAGACUGAAGGCAGAGACAGACAAGAGAAUCCCGCAGUCUUCUAUUAAACCAGACACUAAUCAGAUCUGCAAAAAUGAGGAGGGAGGGAUGCCACUGUUCUCAUUAAUUAAUUAUUUUGUUUUUUAGUUUAGGAAAAUGUAGUUCAUUUCAUGAUAAUGUCAUUUAUGUUAACAUGCAAUGGUCUUAUUAUAAUAUUUUAAAAUUUCUUCUUUUAAAUUUUAAUACAGCAAUAUCAACAGAUAUAACUCAC
Non-coding RNA from Equus caballus (horse), 5101 nucleotides. The record is from RefSeq and is a predicted model, not a curated record. Lineage: Eukaryota; Metazoa; Chordata; Mammalia; Perissodactyla; Equidae.